This 402-nucleotide ribosomal RNA is filed under the name uncultured bacterium. RNAcentral describes it as "bacterial SSU rRNA". It matches the Rfam family "Bacterial small subunit ribosomal RNA", at positions 355 to 774 of the family's 1533-position model. The record is from RNAcentral.
UGGGGAAUAUUGGACAAUGGGGGCAACCCUGAUCCAGCCAUGCCGCGUGAGUGAUGAAGGCCUUCGGGUUGUAAAGCUCUCUUGGCGGGGACGAUGAUGACGGUACCCGCAGAAUAAGCCCCGGCUAACUUCGUGCCAGCAGCCGCGGUAAGACGAAGGGGGCAAGCGUUGUUCGGAAUUACUGGGCGUAAAGGGCGCGUAGGCGGUUUGCUUAGUCAGGCGUGAAAGCCCUGGGCUUAACCUGGGAUGUGCGCUUGAUACUGGCAGGCUUGAGUGUGGGAGAGGUUGGUGGAAUUCCCAGUGUAGAGGUGAAAUUCGUAGAUAUUGGGAAGAACACCGGUGGCGAAGGCGGCCAACUGGACCACAACUGACGCUGAGGCGCGAAAGCGUGGGGAGCAAACA